CAUCAGAUGACUGAAAGCAAGUAAUGGUCUCUUAAACCAGCGCAUGGUAUACUAGCAAGUACCUCUGAUGA
RNAcentral lists this transfer RNA (71 nucleotides) under Odontotermes sp. 10 TB-2017. RNAcentral describes it as "tRNA-Lys". Lineage: Eukaryota; Metazoa; Arthropoda; Insecta; Blattodea; Termitidae. The record is from RNAcentral.